AUACGGAGGGGGCGAGCGUUAUUCGGAAUUAUUGGGCGUAAAGGGCGCGUAGGCGGCUUGACAAGUCAGGGGUGAAAUCCCUCGGCUCAACCGAGGAACUGCCUCUGAAACUGUCGAGCUUGAGGCCGGGAGAGGGUAGUGGAAUUCCCAGUGUAGAGGUGAAAUUCGUAGAUAUUGGGAAGAACACCGGUGGCGAAGGCGGCUACCUGGACCGGACCUGACGCUGAGGUGCGAAAGCGUGGGGAGCAAACAGGAUUAGAAACCCCGGUAGUCC
RNAcentral lists this ribosomal RNA (274 nucleotides) under uncultured bacterium. RNAcentral's name for it is "partial 16S ribosomal RNA". It matches the Rfam family "Bacterial small subunit ribosomal RNA", at positions 523 to 796 of the family's 1533-position model. The record is from RNAcentral.